RNAcentral lists this long non-coding RNA (436 nucleotides) under Dromaius novaehollandiae (emu). RNAcentral's name for it is "lncRNA (ENSDNVG00000016700.1)". The record is from RNAcentral. Lineage: Eukaryota; Metazoa; Chordata; Aves; Casuariiformes; Dromaiidae.
AGGAUAUCCUUUUCCUUCAGAGUCUCCAGAAAUUACAAGACAGGCUGCUUUCUUGGGGCCAUUCAUUAGGAGGCUGACAAGGAGGAAAAUUAAGCUGUGAACUGGAAUUCCAUCAGGCUGUCUACUGUGAAGCCCUGUGGCUUUAGCAAAGGGGCAGCAGUGGUCAGAAAUGACACUCAAAAGAGAGCUACAGUGAAACCCCACAGCAUUCCCCAGCUUCCAGAGAGCAGACAGCUUUGUGCUCUAAGUACCACGGUAGAAAUUCCCAGACACCCUGGAUACACAGUCAGCACCUAGCCAGGCUGACUCUGCCUUUGACCUCUCUGGGACUGUAUUCCCUACUUUAGGAGAAGGAUUGGCUUUUGGAUCCGAACAUGCAAGUAAGUGCUUGUUCUCUUCAUAUGGGUAUUGAAUAAUCCUUUCUGCCUUGCACAGA